RNAcentral lists this non-coding RNA (30 nucleotides) under Homo sapiens (human). The record is from RNAcentral. Lineage: Eukaryota; Metazoa; Chordata; Mammalia; Primates; Hominidae.
UCAGCACUUCAAUAUCCGUAUCAUGGGAAA